RNAcentral lists this ribosomal RNA (529 nucleotides) under uncultured bacterium. RNAcentral's name for it is "bacterial SSU rRNA". It matches the Rfam family "Bacterial small subunit ribosomal RNA", at positions 971 to 1504 of the family's 1533-position model. The record is from RNAcentral.
UUACCUACCCUUGACAUGUACGGAAUCCCUGAGAGAUUAGGGAGUGCUCGAAAGAGAACCGUAACACAGGUGCUGCAUGGCUGUCGUCAGCUCGUGUCGUGAGAUGUUGGGUUAAGUCCCGCAACGAGCGCAACCCUUGUCAUUAGUUGCUACGAAAGGGCACUCUAAUGAGACUGCCGGUGACAAACCGGAGGAAGGUGGGGAUGACGUCAAGUCCUCAUGGCCCUUAUGGGUAGGGCUUCACACGUCAUACAAUGGUACAUACAGAGGGCCGCCAACCCGCGAGGGGGAGCUAAUCCCAGAAAGUGUAUCGUAGUCCGGAUUGUAGUCUGCAACUCGACUACAUGAAGUUGGAAUCGCUAGUAAUCGCGGAUCAGCAUGUCGCGGUGAAUACGUUCCCGGGUCUUGUACACACCGCCCGUCACACCAUGGGAGCGGGUUUCACCAGAAGUAGGUAGCCUAACCGUAAGGAGGGCGCUUACCACGGUGGGAUUCGUGACUGGGGUGAAGUCGUAACAAGGUAGCCGUA